RNAcentral lists this ribosomal RNA (405 nucleotides) under uncultured bacterium. RNAcentral describes it as "partial 16S ribosomal RNA". It matches the Rfam family "Bacterial small subunit ribosomal RNA", at positions 30 to 525 of the family's 1533-position model. The record is from RNAcentral.
AUUGAACGAUGGCGGCAGGCCUAACACAUGCAAGUCGAACGAGUGGCGGACGGGUGAGUAAUGUCUGGGAAACUGCCCGAUGGAGGGGGAUAACUACUGGAAACGGUAGCUAAUACCGCAUACCAUCGGAUGUGCCCAGAUGGGAUUAGCUAGUAGGUGGGGUAACGGCCAACCUAGGCGACGCUCCCUAGCUGGUCUGAGAGGAUGACCAGCCACACUGGAACUAUGACAGGGUCCAGACUCCUACGAGAGGCAGAAGGGGGGAAUAUUGCACAAUGGGCGCAAGCCUGAUGAAGCCAUGCCGGGUAUAUGAAGAAGGCCUUCGGGUUGUAUAGUACUUUCAGCGAGUAGGCGUUACUCGCAGAAGAAGCACCGGCUAACUCCGUGCCAGCAGCCGCGGUAAUA